GCGUUCCGGAGCUUACCAUGCAGUCGUACGGAAAGCAAUUUUUAGUGGCGAACGGGUGAGUAACGCGUGAGAAUUUGCCUUUAGGAAGAGGAUAACAUUUAGAAACAUUUGCUAAGACUCUAUAUGCCAUUUUUGGUGAAAAACGAAAGUUGCCUAAAGAGAAGCUCGCGUCUGAUUAGCUAGUUGGUGGGGUAAAGGCCUACCAAGGCGACGAUCAGUAGCUGGUCUGAGAGGACGACCAGCCACACUGGAACUGAGACACGGUCCAGACUCCUACGGGAGGCAGCAGUGAGGAAUUUUCUGCAAUGGGCGCAAGCCUGACAGAGCAAUACCGCGUGAGGGAUGAAGGCCUAUGGGUUGUGAACCUCUUUCCUCAAGGAGGAAGAUCUGACGUUACUUGAGGAAUAAGCAUCGGCUAACCCUGUGCCAGCAGCCGCGGUAAUACAGGGGAUGCAAGUGUUAUCCGGAAUUAUUGGGCGUAAAGCGUCUGCAGGUGGAUAUCUAAGUCUUUUGUUAAAUCUCUGGGCUUAACCCGGAAUCGGCAAAAGAAACUAUAUAUCUUGAGUAUGGUAGAGGUAAAGGGAAUUUCAAGUGGAGCGGUGAAAUGCGUAGAUAUUUGAAAGAACACCAACAGCGAAGGCACUUUACUGGGCCAGUACCGACACUCAGAGACGAAAGCUAGGGGAGCAAACAGGAUUAGAUACCCUGGUAGUCCUAGCUGUAAACGAUGGAUACUAGAUGUUGCUUGCUUUUUAAGCACGCAGUGUCGUAGCUAACGCGUUAAGUAUCCCGCCUGGGAAGUAUGCUCGCAAGAGUGAAACUCAAAGGAAUUGACGG
RNAcentral lists this ribosomal RNA (837 nucleotides) under uncultured cyanobacterium. RNAcentral describes it as "bacterial SSU rRNA". It matches the Rfam family "Bacterial small subunit ribosomal RNA", at positions 39 to 916 of the family's 1533-position model. Lineage: Bacteria; Bacillati; Cyanobacteriota. The record is from RNAcentral.